UGGUCAUAUUUUCAGAAGUUGGCACAGGAUGGGUUUGCUCAAAAAGAUGCUGCUCGUACUAACCUGGAUCAUCUUGGUACUCCAUCUGCACCUGCAAAAGUUGAAGAAGGAGAUAAGAAUUCUUAUCAUUUUACAACUUUGACAACUGAUGGAAUGUUGAUAGACCAUGAAUAUUCCCAAAACAAUUUUGGUGAAGACGUUAAGAAAAAUUUACCAGGAAUGGUAGGAGCUGACUCUACAAUGCUUUCAGGUUUUGUUCAUUCUCCAGUGAAGAACAGUGAAACUCUGCAAUUUGAUGCUAUGAUGGAUAACCUAAAAUCACCAGAAUCAUGCUAUGAGG
Molecule: unclassified non-coding RNA, 340 nt
Filed under: Hevea brasiliensis (rubber tree)
Lineage: Eukaryota; Viridiplantae; Streptophyta; Magnoliopsida; Malpighiales; Euphorbiaceae
Source: RNAcentral